Molecule: non-coding RNA, 105 nt
Organism: Triticum aestivum (bread wheat)
Lineage: Eukaryota; Viridiplantae; Streptophyta; Magnoliopsida; Poales; Poaceae
Source: Rfam
AUCAUACUCCCUCCGUCCCAAAAUAAGUGACUCAACUUUGUACUAGCUUUAGUACAAAGUUAAUACAAAGUCGAGUCACUUAUUUUGGGACGGAGGGAGUAUAUG